AGUGAACGCUGGCGGCGUGCCUAAUACAUGCAAGUCGAACGAUGAAGUCCUAGCUUGCUAGGAUGGAUUAGUGGCGCACGGGUGAGUAAUAUAUAGUUAAUCUGCCCUACACAGAGGAACAACAGUUGGAAACGACUGCUAAUACCUCAUACUCCUAUUUGACAUAAGUUAAAUAGGGAAAGUCUUUUCGGUGUAGGAUGAGACUAUAUCGUAUCAGCUAGUUGGUAAGGUAAUGGCUUACCAAGGCUAUGACGCGUAACUGGUCUGAGAGGAUGAUCAGUCACAUUGAAACGAAGAAACGGUCCAAAAUCCUACGGGAGGCACGAAUAAGGGAUAUUGCAACAUGGGGGAACCCCUGACGGCCCAACGCCCGGUGAAGGAUGACAUUUUUGGGGGCGAAAACUCUUUUUAACAGGAAAAAAUAAGACGGGUCCCGAUUAAAUAACCACCGGUAAACUCCGU
This 462-nucleotide ribosomal RNA is filed under the name uncultured bacterium. RNAcentral describes it as "partial 16S ribosomal RNA". It matches the Rfam family "Bacterial small subunit ribosomal RNA", at positions 29 to 506 of the family's 1533-position model. The record is from RNAcentral.